AGCGAACGCUGGCGGCAGGCCUAACACAUGCAAGUCGAACGAACCUUUCGGGGUUAGUGGCGGACGGGUGAGUAACACGUGGGAACGUGCCUUUAGGUUCGGAAUAACUCAGGGAAACUUGUGCUAAUACCGAAUGUGCCCUUCGGGGGAAAGAUUUAUCGCCUUUAGAGCGGCCCGCGUCUGAUUAGCUAGUUGGUUGAGGUAAUGGCUCACCAAGGCGACGAUCAGUAGCUGGUCUGAGAGGAUGAUCAGCCACAUUGGGACUGAGACACGGCCCAAACUCCUACGGGAGGCAGCAGUGGGGAAUAUUGCGCAAUGGGCGAAAGCCUGACGCAGCAAUGCCGCGUGAAUGAUGAAGGUCUUAGGAUUGUAAAAUUCUUUCACCGGGGACGAUAAUGACGGUACCCGGAGAAGAAGCCCCGGCUAACUUCGUG
This 434-nucleotide ribosomal RNA is filed under the name uncultured bacterium. Its description in RNAcentral is "partial 16S ribosomal RNA". It matches the Rfam family "Bacterial small subunit ribosomal RNA", at positions 29 to 507 of the family's 1533-position model. The record is from RNAcentral.